Molecule: RNA transcript, 3477 nt
Organism: Esox lucius (northern pike)
Lineage: Eukaryota; Metazoa; Chordata; Actinopteri; Esociformes; Esocidae
Gene name: cytochrome P450 4V2
Exons: 11
Source: RefSeq, a predicted model, not a curated record
AAUAAAUAAGCACCAACAGUGGGUUUUCACGAACAGUCUUUAGUGUUCUAGGCCAACUUUGGCUUACCCACUUUCCAGAGAUGGCGAUCUUUUUGGGGGCUUACACGUUCGGGAUGCUGGGAGCAAGUCUUUUUGUCGGAUUGCUGACCUACAUCACCUACAAGCUGCUCAGCAACUACGUACACAAAUGGAUAGAAAUGAAGCCAAUACCAGAGAUUGAAGGCACAUACCCCCUCAUAGGGAAUGCACUGCAGUUCAAAGCCAACCCCGGAGAUUUCUUCCGUCAAAUCAUUGGUUACACCGAGCAGUUUAAGAAUCAUCCCCUGAUGAAGAUUUGGAUCGGACCAAUUCCCUUCCUAAUUCUGUUCCAUGCGGAGACCAUCGAGACAGUUCUGAACAACCCUAUUCACAUGGAGAAGGCCUAUGCAUACAAGUUCCUGCAUCCUUGGCUUGGUACCGGUCUGCUCACCAGCACGGGAGAUAAGUGGCGACGGCGGCGGAAGAUGCUUACCCCCACCUUCCACUUCUCCAUCCUGACCGAUUUCCUCGAGGUGAUGAACGAGCAGGCCGAGGUGCUGGUGGAGAAGCUGAACAAGGAGGCUGGCAAGGGCUCCUUCAACUGCUUCAACCACGUCACCCUCUGUGCCCUUGACAUCAUCUGCGAGACGGCGAUGGGAAAGAAAAUCUAUGCUCAGAGUAACCACGACUCGGAGUAUGUCCGAUGCGUGUACAAGAUGAGCGACAUCAUCACACGGCGACAGAGGAUGCCGUGGUUCUGGCCCGACUUUGUUUAUAACUAUUUUGGCGAGGGCUGGGAACACGACAGGAGCCUUAAAGUCCUCCAUUCUUUCACCUCCAACGUGAUCUAUGAGAGGGCAGAGUACAUAUCUUACGUCGAGUCGGACAGCGAAUCCGACCAGGGUAUGAGGAAGAGAAGGGCCUUCCUGGACAUGCUGCUGAAGACCACAGACGAGGAGGGCAACAAACUGACCCACCAGGACAUCCAGGAGGAAGUGGACACCUUCAUGUUCAGGGGCCACGACACCACAGCUGCUGCCAUGAAUUGGGCCAUUCACCUGAUAGGCUCCCACCCUGAGGUGCAGAAGAAGCUUCAACAAGAGCUGCAUGAGGUGUUUGGUGUGUCUGACCGGCCAAUCAACACAGAGGAUCUGAAGAAUUUGCGUUACCUGGAGUGUGUGAUUAAAGAAUCCCUGCGACUGUUCCCCUCAGUCCCCUUUUUCGCCCGCAACAUCGGUGAAAACUGCAACAUCAAUGGGUUCAAAAUUCCCAAAGGUGCCAAUGCCAUCAUCAUACCGUACUCCCUCCACCGUGACGAGCGCCACUUCCCCCAGCCGGAGGAGUUCCGCCCGGAACGCUUUCUGCCGGAAAACAAUGUCGGGAGACAUCCGUACGCGUUCAUCCCCUUCUCUGCUGGACUGCGUAAUUGCAUUGGUAAGAAAAAUAAAUCAGCGUCGGGGUCAAUGCAGUGUAAUUACCUGAUGCAUAAAAAGAGACCAGACUGAUGGAAACCGGAUUGUUCUUUCAACAUCGUGGGACUUUCUUGUGUCUGCAAAAUUAGUUAGGUCAGCGUUUUGCUAUAAUGGAGGAGAAGGUGAUUCUGGCCUCCAUUCUGCGCUACUUUAACGUGGAGGCGUGUCAGAAGCGUGAGGAACUCUGUCCACUGGGUGAACUCAUUCUCCGGCCAGAGAAGGGCAUAUGGAUUAAACUGGAGAAGAGGACACAGCAACUCUGAAUUCACGGCUGCACUCCAUUCGCAGAGUAGACCGCCCCUAGCCACUUUUCUUCGGGAGAAACCCUAUCUAGACUGGAUGCAGUUUUGAUUGCCAUCUUAACUGGCUGUCCAAUUUACAAAAGUUGACCUCUGCCCUUGAUGAGGAAGUAGGGUUAAGUGGCUGUCUUCUUUGCGAUUGGAGAAAAUCUCUUCCAUUCAACUGGCCAAUCUAGGGAACUGUUUGGAUACCUUAAAAAAAUACCAUUCCUUCCUUCUUUGCUUGUAAGUAAUUGCUGAAAGUUGAUCCAACACUAAUAGGUGCAUGUAAGUAAAGAAUUAGCACAAUCAUGUGAAUUAUUUAGGACAGUAGGAAAGAUAUAUUUAGCCUGUUACACCAGUGGGCUACAUCAGUGUUUUUCUGUACCUGUUGGUGACUAUGAAACGCUCAGAGCAACAUCUGGAUCGGCUUCAUUUUGUCUACAUGUUUACAAGAUUUUGGGCAAUCAUUAGUGGGGACGAUUGAACCUGAAUAUUUUUUAAUAGUCACCCUAGGGUAAAGAAAAUCACUCUGUGCUGUUUCGUCCACUGCUUCAGGUUAAAAGUAUUUGAGAAUAAUGAAAUAAAUUACAGGAGAUCUGAAACUUGGGACUGAGAGACACACAAUUUUCAGAGUCAUCAUAAACAGGUUUCUGAUAUUCAAAAUAGUUUGAGCUUCCAAGAAAGAUACCUAAGUUGGCAAAUUUAGAUAAGGACCAUAUAACCACAGUUGUAAGAUUUCAUCACUUUCAUUUUAUAAGUCAUUAACAGUGUAUUAUGAUGUGCAUUAUUAUUUUCUACAUCUGUAAAGACUUACAUACAUGAAUAUGUAAGCUAACCUCACCGCUAUGGUUCUAUUUUUCAAGCUCUUUGGAUAUUAUGUUUGAACAUCAAUGUCAGGAUGUACUACUUUUAAAUAAAAGAGGAUACUGCACUUCUGCAUGUAUUUGUUAUGUUUGAGUCUUGACUGAUACAAUUGAAUUUACAAAUAGAACAUUGCAAAACUAUGUAUCCUUGUCAUAUCGUGAUGAGUUGUUAUUGGAAUUAAGAUCUGCAGAAGAACAAACGACAAAUGCUUAAAUCUAAUUGCACCAGGUACAAUUCAAACAUUAUGUUUUUUGCAGUGGUCUUAGUGAUGAAACACAUCCCCAAUAAAUGAAUCCUAAUACACUGCCAGAUACUAUAUUAGAAACUCCUCAUGGAACAUAUAUGGCAUUGUGGAUGCCAAAUUCAGGGUACCAUGUGUGCCCUGCAUUCUAUUUACUUCAGCUAGCGGACAGGGUGACAUCUCCUAUGAUCACUGCUGAACACUCCUAGGGACAGUAUCAGUGGUGCGGACUUCUCCUUUAAAGGGCUUGAAUCAUACCCUAAUGGUUUUUCUAUAAAAACAUUGUUGUCAGCAUUAUCUGGAAGAGAUGCUCCAAUGGUGACUGUGUCUUUGAAAUACAAACUGCAUGAGUGACGGUAGAGGGUAUAUCCAGGGACGAAGGAGACUGGGGACAAAGACAUUCAGAAGGACAGGCUUUUAGUUAAGUUUCCCCCAGUGUUUGCUAUACUGGGGGAGUACUGUAGAUUGGAAAUCUCAUUGGAAAUUAUAUACAUUUUAUAUUACAUUAUAUGAUACUUCUAUACUAUUAAUUCUCUACUGAGCAUGAAAACCAAACAAAUACAGUAAGAGGAAAAUAUGAACAAAAUGUACUUAUUUUUUU